This 69-nucleotide transfer RNA is filed under the name Mus musculus (house mouse). It matches the Rfam family "tRNA". From Rfam's summary of the family: Transfer RNA (tRNA) molecules are approximately 80 nucleotides in length. RNAcentral also lists the same sequence under 1 other name. Lineage: Eukaryota; Metazoa; Chordata; Mammalia; Rodentia; Muridae. The record is from Rfam by way of RNAcentral.
GCUAUAGCUCAAUGGUAGAGUGCUUGCCUGAUAUGCACCAGACUUUGGGUUCAAUACCCAACACAAGCU